AUGCCUCUCUGCGUCCUUCCCCCAAGAGCUGGUCCCAAACCUCUGCCCACCUCCUGCUGGGUCUGCCCUGGGAUGCCCCUGAUGUGUCCCAUCCCCAGGCUGUGCUGGCACCUGGGUGGCCCCUCCAGGGACAGAAGGGACAGGGACAUUUCUCAGGGCUGCUCUGCACACCUCGGCCCCAGCCUGGAGAAACAUCGGGGACACAUCGGGGUGGAGGUGCCUCUCAUCCCCUGCACGGGCUGGGGCAGCUCGGGGGCUUUUCUUUGUGUCCUCCAGGUGCGAUGGGACAGAAUUUGGGAGCAAAACGUGUGGGCAGGCGGCUGUCCCCUCCCCACAUCCCCACAUCCUGCUGGUGUGGACGGAGAGGGGCUGGAAGGAGAGGUGAGCGGGGAGGAAAGGAGAGGUGGAAAAGUCUCCCCCAGAUCUUUUUUCGUUUGUCCUUCUUUGAUCCUUCUUUAUUUUUUCCUUCUUUUACUCCCUCUUUACUUUUUUCUUUUUUUAUUCCCUCUUUAUUUUUUCCUUCUUUAUUCCGUCUUUACUUUUUCCUUCUUCUUUUCCUUUCCUUUUUUUUUUUCUUUUUUUUUUUUUUUCUUUUUUUUUCUCCUUUCUCUCCGUACCCCCCCAUCCAAAUUAUCCCCCAAGCCGAGAAGGGAAAGGAGGCAGAAGGGACAGGAGCUGCGGCCGGCCAGGAGAGGGUGCCAGACGCUGCCCGGCGCCCCCGGCCCGGUCCCAGCUCGGGGGGGUGGCGGCUGGGGGGGGGACACCCGGCUUUGGUCGCUACCUGCUGAAAGCUCCCGGCACCUCUUCUCGCUGGGCUUGGAUUUAGGGGGGUCUUUAGGGCCCCCUAAAGUGGUGUCCCCCUUCCCCGUGCGCUCGUGGGUUCCCCCCCGUGAAUCCUCGCUUGGAUUUUGGUGGGGAGCCGGGGAUGGGAGUGGAAAUGGGGCGCACCCAAACUGGGCUGGGAUGGAGAGCGGGGAUGGGUGCAGGACGUGGUCACCCUUGGGGACACUCGGAGAGGGCUUUGGGGGGACGUCCAGUCCGUCCCCAGUAUGGCAGGCUGGUCAUACUGGGAGAGAGAGCACCCGGAUGGGCUCUGCUCCUGCAGGCAAGGGGCUGCCCGCGGGUUUGGGGGACUCACGAGGGAUGUCCUGA
This 1152-nucleotide long non-coding RNA is filed under the name Anas platyrhynchos platyrhynchos (common mallard). RNAcentral's name for it is "lncRNA (ENSAPLG00000017155.1)". The record is from RNAcentral. Lineage: Eukaryota; Metazoa; Chordata; Aves; Anseriformes; Anatidae.